RNAcentral lists this ribosomal RNA (468 nucleotides) under uncultured bacterium. Its description in RNAcentral is "partial 16S ribosomal RNA". It matches the Rfam family "Bacterial small subunit ribosomal RNA", at positions 28 to 507 of the family's 1533-position model. The record is from RNAcentral.
GACGAACGCUGGCGGCGUGCUUAACACAUGCAAGUCGAACGGAAAGGCCCUGCUUUUGUGGGGUGCUCGAGUGGCGAACGGGUGAGUAACACGUGAGUAACCUGCCCUUGACUUUGGGAUAACUUCAGGAAGCUGGGGCUAAUACCGGAUAGGAGCUCCUGCUGCAUGGUGGGGGUUGGAAAGUUUCGGCGGUUGGGGAUGGACUCGCGGCUUAUCAGCUUGUUGGUGGGGUAGUGGCUUACCAAGGCUUUGACGGGUAGCCGGCCUGAGAGGGUGACCGGCCACAUUGGGACUGAGAUACGGCCCAGACUCCUACGGGAGGCAGCAGUGGGGAAUAUUGCACAAUGGGCGGAAGCCUGAUGCAGCAACGCCGCGUGCGGGAUGACGGCCUUCGGGUUGUAAACCGCUUUCGCCUGUGACGAAGCGUGAGUGACGAUAAUGGGUAAAGAAGCACCGGCUAACUACGUG